GACGAACGCUGGCGGCGUGCUUAACACAUGCAAGUCGAACGGAAAGGCCCUGCUUUUGUGGGGUGCUCGAGUGGCGAACGGGUGAGUAACACGUGAGUAACCUGCCCUUGACUUUGGGAUAACUUCAGGAAACUGGGGCUAAUACCGGAUAGGAGCUCCUGCUGCAUGGUGGGGGUUGGAAAGUUUCGGCGGUUGGGGAUGGACUCGCGGCUUAUCAGCUUGUUGGUGGGGUAGUGGCUUACCAAGGCUUUGCCGGGUAGCCGGCCUGAGAGGGUGACCGGCCACAUUGGGACUGAGAUACGGCCCAGACUCCUACGGGAGGCAGCAGUGGAGAAUAUUGCACAAUGGGCGGAAGCCUGAUGCAGCAACGCCGCGUGCGGGAUGACGGCCUUCGGGUUGUAAACCGCUUUCGCCUGUGACGAAGCGUGAGUGACGGUAAUGGGUAAAGAAGCACCGGCUAACUACGUG
RNAcentral lists this ribosomal RNA (468 nucleotides) under uncultured bacterium. Its description in RNAcentral is "partial 16S ribosomal RNA". It matches the Rfam family "Bacterial small subunit ribosomal RNA", at positions 28 to 507 of the family's 1533-position model. The record is from RNAcentral.